GAAAGCAUGGGGAGCAAACAUGAUUAGAUACCCUGGUAGUCCAUGCCAUAAACGAUGACUGUUCGCCCUUGGUCUACGCGGAUCAGGGGCCCAGCCAACGCGUGAAACACUCCGCC
RNAcentral lists this ribosomal RNA (116 nucleotides) under Triticum aestivum (bread wheat). Its description in RNAcentral is "rRNA SSU_rRNA_eukarya". It matches the Rfam family "Bacterial small subunit ribosomal RNA", at positions 755 to 873 of the family's 1533-position model. The record is from RNAcentral. Lineage: Eukaryota; Viridiplantae; Streptophyta; Magnoliopsida; Poales; Poaceae.